Molecule: ribosomal RNA, 1385 nt
Filed under: uncultured deep-sea bacterium
Lineage: Bacteria
Description: bacterial SSU rRNA
Rfam family: Bacterial small subunit ribosomal RNA
Source: RNAcentral
CUGGCUCAGGAUGAACGCUAGCGGCAGGCCUAACACAUGCAAGUCGAGGGGCAGCGGGGAGUGCUUGCACUCUGCCGGCGACCGGCGCACGGGUGCGUAACGCGUAUACAACCUACCUCUUACUAUUGGAUAGCCCAGAGAAAUUUGGAUUAAGCCAAUAUGGCACCACAUCACGGCAUCGUGUUUGUGGUUAAAGGUUACGGUAAGAGAUGGGUAUGCGUCCUAUUAGUUUGUUGGUAAGGUAACGGCUUACCAAGACUACGAUAGGUAGGGGCCCUGAGAGGGGGAUCCCCCACACUGGUACUGAGACACGGACCAGACUCCUACGGGAGGCAGCAGUGAGGAAUAUUGGACAAUGGGCGGGAGCCUGAUCCAGCCAUGCCGCGUGCAGGAAGACUGCCCUAUGGGUUGUAAACUGCUUUUAUACGGGAAGAAACACCCCCUCGUGAGGGGGCUUGACGGUACCGUAAGAAUAAGGACCGGCUAACUCCGUGCCAGCAGCCGCGGUAAUACGGAGGGUCCGAGCGUUAUCCGGAAUCAUUGGGUUUAAAGGGUCCGUAGGCGGGCGGCUAAGUCAGUGGUGAAAGUCUGUGGCUCAACCAUAGAAUUGCCAUUGAUACUGGUCGUCUUGAAUCAAUGUGAAGUGGUUAGAAUGAGUAGUGUAGCGGUGAAAUGCAUAGAUAUUACUCAGAAUACCGAUUGCGAAGGCAGAUCACUAACAUUGUAUUGACGCUGAGGGACGAAAGCGUGGGGAGCGAACAGGAUUAGAUACCCUGGUAGUCCACGCCGUAAACGAUGGAUACUAGCUGUGCGGACUUUGGUCUGCGUGGCUAAGCGAAAGUGAUAAGUAUAAACUCAAAGGAAUUGACGGGGGCCCGCACAAGCGGUGGAGCAUGUGGUUUAAUUCGAUGAUACGCGAGGAACCUUACCAGGGCUUAAAUGUAGUGGGACAGGCGUGGAAACACGCCCUUCUUCGGACUCAUUACAAGGUGCUGCAUGGUUGUCGUCAGCUCGUGCCGUGAGGUGUCAGGUUAAGUCCUAUAACGAGCGCAACCCCUGUCGUUAGUUGCCAGCAUGUAAAGAUGGGAACUCUAGCGAGACUGCCGGUGCAAACCGCGAGGAAGGUGGGGAUGACGUCAAAUCAUCACGGCCCUUACGUCCUGGGCUACACACGUGCUACAAUGGCCGGUACAGAGGGCAGCCACACCGCAAGGUGGAGCGAAUCCUUAAAACCGGUCUCAGUUCGGAUCGGGGUCUGCAACUCGACCCCGUGAAGCUGGAAUCGCUAGUAAUCGGAUAUCAGCCAUGAUCCGGUGAAUACGUUCCCGGGCCUUGUACACACCGCCCGUCAAGCCAUGGAAGCUGGGGGUACCUGAAGUCGGUGA